Phalaenopsis equestris is the source of this 816-nucleotide RNA transcript. It is a transcript of the gene named protein NUCLEAR FUSION DEFECTIVE 6, chloroplastic/mitochondrial-like, with no coding region annotated. The transcript is spliced from 4 exons. The record is from RefSeq and is a predicted model, not a curated record. Lineage: Eukaryota; Viridiplantae; Streptophyta; Magnoliopsida; Asparagales; Orchidaceae.
AAAACCGAUCCCGCACAACUAUAUAUAAACAGAGGCUGAUUCCGGAAAAAAAAUCAACUAGGGCUAGGAACAGCAGCCUCUCACUUGCUCCCAUGGCUGCCUCAGCCUUCAGAUCAUUGCUUCGAACUUCUUCUGUUCGCAUCGCUGCACGAGAGGCGCGCGUCGCCUCCUUGGAGACGAUGGGCUCUCGCCCUCUUCUCUGCCUCCACAAACUGAGGCCAGCUUCCCGUCGCAUCCCGAGGUCCCCGGCUGUGUUGAGCUGCUGCGUUGAGUCUUUUCUACCAAUGCACAACGCUACUGCCACGGCAUUGAUGACUUCAAUGCUGUCUGUCUCCAUGAAAGGCUAUGGUUGGCUUUCGGAAGGAAACUAUUUUUUACAUCAAAUUGUUAUAAGGACCAGCUGAAGUUUUUCAUCAAGGAUCGAAGUAUCUGGAUAGUGUUUAACGAUGCAUUUGGACAAGAUGAUAUUUGAUGAAGCUCAACCUACUAACUUGGCCAACUUCAAUUAUUUUGCGCUCUUUUGGAAUGUAUAAUCAAGGAUUCAUUUUUCCGAGUUGAUAUCAUAGUUGAGUACUUGGAUUUCAAUUGAUCUCCCUUGAGUCCAUACUUUCACCUGUAGUACCUCAACAUGCACCAAUGGAUCAGUAUCAGGCAUGAAAUAAAAAACAGAGAAACAUAUUUUGUAAGGUUUUGGUACUAAGUAUGUCGAGAAAUAUUUAAUGUGUAUUUCAUACUUAAAUUUUGUUUUUUUUGAAUGGUUUGACGUCUUUUUGUAUUUUAUUUUUAUUUAGAAGAAGUAACCUAUAUUACUCGACC